Molecule: ribosomal RNA, 501 nt
Filed under: uncultured bacterium
Lineage: Bacteria
Description: partial 16S ribosomal RNA
Rfam family: Bacterial small subunit ribosomal RNA
Source: RNAcentral
AUUGAACGCUGGCGGCAGGCUUAACACAUGCAAGUCGAGCGGGGGAGGGUAGCUUGCUACUGGACCUAGCGGCGGACGGGUGAGUAAUGCUUAGGAAUCUGCCUAUUAGUGGGGGACAACAUCUCGAAAGGGAUGCUAAUACCGCAUACGUCCUACGGGAGAAAGCAGGGGAUCUUCGGACCUUGCGCUAAUCGAUGAGCCUAAGUUGGAUUAGCUAGUUGGUGGGGUAAAGGCCUACCAAGGCGACGAUCUGUAGCGGGUCUGAGAGGGUGAUCCGGCACACUGGGACUGAGACACGGCCCAGACUCCUACGGGAGGCAGCAGUGGGGAAUAUUGGACAAUGGGGGGAACCCUGAUCCAGCCAUGCCGCGUGUGUGAAGAAGGCCUUAUGGUUGUAAAGCACUUUAAGCGAGGAGGAGGCUACUCUAGUUAAUACCUAGGGAUAGUGGACGUUACUCGCAGAAUAAGCACCGGCUAACUCUGUGCCAGCCGCCGCAGUAA